RNAcentral lists this ribosomal RNA (444 nucleotides) under uncultured bacterium. Its description in RNAcentral is "bacterial SSU rRNA". It matches the Rfam family "Bacterial small subunit ribosomal RNA", at positions 355 to 796 of the family's 1533-position model. The record is from RNAcentral.
UAAGGAAUAUUGGACAAUGGGCGCAAGCCUGAUCCAGCCAUGCCGCGUGCAGGAAGAAGGACCUAUGGUUUGUAAACUGCUUUUGUACCAGAGAAAACCCUUCUACGUGUAGAAGGCUGAUAGUAUGGUAAGAAUAAGCAUCGGCUAACUUCGUGCCAGCAGCCGCGGUAAGACGAAGGAUGCAAGCGUUAUCCGGAUUCAUUGGGUUUAAAGGGAGCGUAGGCGGACUUGUAAGUCAGUGGUGAAAUCUCCGGGCUUAACCCGGAAACUGCCAUUGAUACUGCAGGUCUAGAGUACAGUUGCUGUGGGCGGAAUAUGACAUGUAGUGGUGAAAUACUUAGAUAUGUCAUAGAACACCGAUUGCGAAGGCAGCUCACAAAACUGUAACUGACGCUGAGGCUCGAAAGUGCGGGGAUCAAACAGGAUUAGAUACCCCGGUAGUCC